This is a long non-coding RNA of Bubalus bubalis (water buffalo), 799 nucleotides long. RefSeq lists it as uncharacterized. Lineage: Eukaryota; Metazoa; Chordata; Mammalia; Artiodactyla; Bovidae. The record is from RefSeq and is a predicted model, not a curated record. The transcript is spliced from 2 exons.
UUUUUAGAAAUACAAAAUAUGGGGCCUCAUUGAGGACCAAUCAGAAAGGCUGGGAGUGGGGCUCAACACCUGUGUCUUCACAUCUCACCGGGGUCCUUCCCUCUCAGAUAAGAAAGUCUCCUUGCUAAGACUCAGCCCUAGUCUAGUCCCUCUGUAAUUCACUGGUUCUCAACACUUUCUGCACGUUGGGAUCACUUUUACAAACACAAAUGCCUGGCUCUCACUCCCAGAAAUUCUGAUUUGACUUGUCUGGGGUGCUGCCUGAGCAAAGAGAUUUUUAAGCAUUUUCAGGUGGUUCUAAUGACAGUCAAGGUUAAGUGUCUCUGCUUUCAUUCCUUCCUAAGGGGUUCCCUCUCAACCCCAUCCUAUUGAAACUGCCUUCUCUGUCUGAAGCUUGGGGUGGGAACUGACUCUCCCUAUGUUGUUGUCCCCCCCUUGGCCUCUAUCAUUUUUCUCCUCUUGUUUUCCCAGCUUUGCUAACCACACCUUCUUGUUUCUCUUCCUGAAUAAAACUGUGGCCCAUUUCCCAGAUCUCAGCUUUCUUCUCAGCCACGCCCCCUAUCUCUCCUCUUCCUGCAAUGUUAACUCUGAAAUCCAGCUCUAACCUCUAGCACUUCUCCACCUGCCAGGUCCAACUUUCUGGCUUCCAUCAUACCUGGCAUGAAUUAAAAGCUGAAUUCAUGCUGACUGAGCUGAAUCACAUCCCUGAGGAGGCUCCUACUCUUGGCCAGAACUUUGUGGAUGUCUAUUGAAGAAUUAAUGCUUUUGAACUGUGGUGUUGGAGAAGACUCUUGAGAGU